GCCCCGGCGGCGGACGACUGCGGGCUGCGCGCUGUGGGCAACCGGGGCUGCCGUCCCCGCGGUCCCUGCGGUCCCCGCGGUCCGCGCCGGGCUUCCGACUGCGCCCGUGCUCACUGCGCAGGCGCGCACCCGUGGGGCGGGGCCGGCCCGGGGAAGGGGCCGGACGGGGUGGGGCCUGCUGAGUGGGCGGGACCUAAGCGGGGCUGACCCGGGGAAGGGGCCGGAUGGGGGUGGGGGAGCCUGCGGGGUGGGCGGGUCCUUGGAAGGGGCCGGCCCUGGGAAGGGGCCGGUUGGGGUGGGGCCUGACGGGCGGGGGUGGGCCCUGUGGGUGGGCGGGGGGUAGGCGGGGCCGACCUGCGGAGCCGGGGAGCCGGUUCACGACCUGGGUCCGGCCGGCGGGUGGAUGGGUCGGGUGGUCCGACGAAGCAAGCACAAGACCUCCACACCACCGACGCAAGGUGUCUGCACCUGAGGGGCUCAGGCGCGUGCCUGUGCAGACGGACUCCUCCCACCGGCCCUGGGAUCUUGCCCGUUGUUCCGUGCGACCCGGCAAGCGUGCGGCACAGCCCCAAGGUCUUCGGAGACGCGGACGCCGGCCCCCGUCCUUAUCACCACAGGUCUCCCAGCCAGCGCUGGCCAGGGCCUUCAACCCAAGGGGACUCUGCUGCCCCGCCCGUUCGCGUGUUCUCCUUGCAGGAGGAGCACCCUCCUCAUCUUCCCCUUGCGGAGCCCAAGGGUUUUGCCUCCUUCCAUCCGGGCGACCCAACAGGUGACCCUACCCCAGGCCUCCUGGAGACCAGCCCCCCACCGCACUCCCAGUUAGGGCAGUGAAUCCCAGCCUCACCCUGCCCCCAGCGUUGUCUCUGGGAUGUGUCGGGGUGG
Molecule: long non-coding RNA, 882 nt
Filed under: Bos grunniens (domestic yak)
Lineage: Eukaryota; Metazoa; Chordata; Mammalia; Artiodactyla; Bovidae
Description: lncRNA (ENSBGRG00000019731.1)
Source: RNAcentral